This 73-nucleotide transfer RNA is filed under the name Pangasianodon hypophthalmus (striped catfish). RNAcentral's name for it is "tRNA-Ile". The record is from RNAcentral. Lineage: Eukaryota; Metazoa; Chordata; Actinopteri; Siluriformes; Pangasiidae.
GGAGCUGUGCCUGAAUGCCCAAGGACCACUUUGAUAGAGUGACUUAUGAAGGUUAAAAAUCCUCCCGGCUCCU